GGAGGGUGCAAGCGUUGUUCGGAAUUACUGGGCGUAAAGCGCGUGUAGGUGGCCUUUUAUGUCAGGUGUGAAAGCCUCCCGCCCAACGGGAGAAGUGCGCCUGAAACUGAAAGGCUUGAGUACGAGAGGGGGAGACGGAAUUCCUAGUGUAGAGGUGAAAUUCGUAGAUAUUAGGAAGAACACCGGUGGCGAAAGCGGUUUCCUGGCUCGUAACUGACACUAAGACGCGAAAGCGUGGGUAGCAAACAGGAUUAGAUACCCUGGUAGUCCACGCCGUAAACGAUGGAUACUAGUCGUUGGAAAUUUUUAAAAACUUUUACAGUGACGACGCUAACGCAUUAAGUAUCCCGCCUGGGGAGUACGGCCGCAAGGUU
Molecule: ribosomal RNA, 374 nt
Filed under: uncultured organism
Description: partial 16S ribosomal RNA
Rfam family: Bacterial small subunit ribosomal RNA
Source: RNAcentral